This is a long non-coding RNA of Gavialis gangeticus (Gharial), 2051 nucleotides long. RefSeq lists it as uncharacterized. The record is from RefSeq and is a predicted model, not a curated record. Lineage: Eukaryota; Metazoa; Chordata; Crocodylia; Gavialidae. The transcript is spliced from 2 exons.
UACCAGACUGAGACCAGUUUCUCUAGCUUCAGGACACAAGAGGUUUCUAAAACAGAGAGCCACAGGUAUCAGGACACCUAGAAAAGAUUUUCCUGCUUAUGUGCUCGGACAGCAUGUUUCUCCUCAGAUCAACAGAGAGGGGACAAAAUAUAGCAAAUAAAAACACAUAUCAAACACAGUUACAUUUAAACUUUAUACAGCAACAUGAAACUAGAAUACCUUUGCUGUAUAAAAUGGCUUGUACAUUUUGUGUGUUACACACACAAACUGACCUUAUUGUUCACUUCUUUUCCUCCCCAAGUUUCUGACCUGCCCCUCUCUGGUGCCUGGUUUGAACCCUGAAGCAACGCUGGACCCAGAACAACCCCAACACCCUCUGGGAUCAGGGCUCUCACAUGUCUCCAGACAUACUCACUGGCAGCCAAAGAGCCCGGAUUCCACAGGUGGCAUGGAUCUGACCCAGUGGACUAUCCUUGUAACCACUUUGUCAUCCCGUUAGUGCCCAACUCUUGAAACAUAAGAACCUAAGAAUUGCCAUUUACUGACUCAGACCAGAAAGCCAACUUGCCCAGUAUUUUGUGUCAAAGUGGCAGAGAGUGUAUGCUGAAAAGGAGAGUGAACUGGGUUAUGACCAGGGUUUUGUUUUUUUUCCUGCUGUUUCUCUCUCAUUUGCAGCCACCAGCCUUUAAGGUCUAGGAAGUUAUAAUUUAGAGGCUCUAUUGCUAACUCCCAUAGGAAACAAACAUCCCAGGGAAAAAGGUGAUAGUGCAUCACUGCAGGGAAACUGAGAGAAGGACACAUGGACAGCUUUGACCAGGAGAGGAGUCUGGGGUGCAGCAACUUGGGGUGGCAGCAAUUGAUUCUGGAGCCUACUCACAUUAAGGUUUGUCUUCUGCUGUGGUGAGAAAGAGUUAGAAGAGCUCUCUGCAUUAGAACUUCCUAUACCUUAAAUGCUGGAGGUUGAAAGUGAGAAGAAUGGAGAAAAAAACAAAUCCUAGUCAUACCCAGUUUACUUCCUUUUUCAGCAUCCACUCUGCCACUGUGUGACAUGGGAUUCUGGGCAAAAUGGACCAGCAAAGGGCAAUUCUUAUGAUCUAAUGUUUAAGGGAUAUUAUCCUCAAGGCAGAACUGCAUCUGUGUUGCAUCCCAUGGCACACAGAAUGCACCAUCAGCACUUAGGGAAGCCCGACCACACCACAGAACGCUGGGGCACUGAAUGCUGACCUGUUUAUUCCCAAUGGGCUCCAUGUAUGGACCACACAGGCUGUUUUCAACUGAGUAAAAGUGGAAUUGCUAGAUGCAGACUUUUUUUUCAAUAUAGCUAUGGAAGUGCCACACAAAGAUGAUGAGUGAAGUCCUGCAAAUAUUCCCCACUACAAAGCCCACCCCUCCGUCUGCAGAUAAAGUCUCCUAUGAAGCCUUCAUGUAAAAUACCAGUUUUCCUCACAACAAGCAGACUUGUGAGUUCAGAGAUUCAGUUUAAAUACUGGAGCCUUUAUUACCUUCAUUGUUUAGAAGAUGUUUCUCCAUCAGUCAUUAUUCUGAUGCCACACAAUGUGCCACAAGCAUGUUUACCUAGCUGCUGCUGAAGUGACUGCAAGGGAGUGCGGAAGCAACCCAAGCUAGCAUUAAACUGCCCAACUUAGAUAUUGUCCACAGCAACAGAGGUGCAUGAGUAGGGCAAAACAGGAGGUGCUGAGCUCAUACUCCACAUCCAGGCUCAGGCUGUUUGCAGAGAUGCCCACAUUCUACUUCCAAUUUCACAGCUCCAGGGUUGUGGUGAUGUGUACUGGCACAGCCAGCUGAGGACGUUAACUUCCCAGUUCACAGUAACUGCCACAGCCAGUGAACUGAUUCUGGAUGAACUCUGGUUCAGGAUAAAACAGAUCCUGGCCAAUUUCCCCAUUACAAAUCAGUGAACACUGAACAAUUAAAGGCAAGCUUGACGUUGUGGACAUGCUGGUUACGUCCAUUUUAAUAUGUAAAUGCUGCACUAUUCCAGCUUAGCAAAAUGUCACUGUGGGUUCUGUUCCCCUGACUCUCUAAGACAC